CUGCCAGUGCGCAUACGCUCUUUUUAAAGAUUAAGCCAUGCACGUGCCAAGUACAUACAUGUUAAAUGUGAGACUGCGGACGGCUCAGUAAAUCAGUUAUAAUCUGCUCGAUUGUUAAAGGUUAUUGGAUAACCGUGGGAAAUCUAGAGCUAAUACAUGCAAUUUAGGGUGCGGAUUCGUUCGUUACCCAUGGCAUUUAUUAGAUGUAUACCAACCACAACUUAUGUUGUGUGGUGAAUCUAGAUAACUGUGCAGAUCGUAUGGCCUUGAGCUGACGACAUUUCGAUUGAAUUUCUGCCCUAUCAACUUUUGUCGGUAGUGUAGUGGACUACCGAGGUUUUUACGGGUGACGGGGGAUCAGGGUUCGAUUCCGGAGAGGGAGCCUGAGAAACGGCUACCACAUCCAAGGAAGGCAGCAGGCGCGCAAAUUACCCAAUCCAGACAGUGGGAGGUGGUGACGAAAAGUACCAAAUGACGGCCCAAGGGUUGUCAAUUUGGAAUGAUAUCAAUUUAAGUAAUUGGUUGAUAAACUACUGGAGGGCAAGUCUGGUGCCAGCAGCCGCGGUAAUUCCAGCUCCAGUAGCGUAUCUCAAAGUUGCUGCGCUUAAAACGCUCGUAGUUGGAUCACAAACUUGACGUUGGUGGAUAUAAUUGUCAUGUCAAUUUGAAAGAUAUGAUAGUAUGUCAUCAUAUUGUCGUAGAUUUGAUGUGAUGUGCGAUUAUAGCUGUGAGCCGAUGUGAAGUGAUUGCAUGUGAGGAUGGAUGUUGGCCUUGAAUGUGCUGAUAUUUGUGUCUCACAGAGUGUGCCUUGAGUAAAUCAGAGUGCUUAAAGCAGGCUUUACGCUUGAAUGUUGUAGCAUGGAACGAACAAUCGUGUAUGGUGUAUGUUGGGGAAGAAUUGUGACGCCGUUUGGAGUUGCAUUCACCAAUAUACGACACCGACCACCAAUUACGGAUGUUGGUUCCGUAUUGGGGUACCGAUUAAGAGGAGCGGUUGGGGGCAUUGGUAUUUGGCAGCGAGAGGUGAAAUUCUUAGACCUGUCAAGGACUAACAAAUGCGAAGGCAUCUGUCCAGACCGUAUCCAUUAAUCAAGAACGAUAGUGAGAGGUUCGAAGACGAUCAGAUACCGUCCUAGUUCUCACAGUAAACGAUGCCGACCCGGGAUCAGUUUGGAGCUUAUUAUCCACGCUCGAGGUUGGUCCCCCUGGGAAACCUAAAGUUUUUCGGUUGCGGGGGGAGUAUGGUCGCAAGGCUGAAACUUAAAGGAAUUGACGGAAGGGCACCACCAGGGGUGGAGCCUGCGGCUUAAUUUGACUCAACACGGGAAAACUUACUUGAUCAGAACACCCGAAGGAUGCACAGACUGAUAGAUCUUUGCUGAUGGGGUGAAAAGUGGUGCAUGGCCGUUCUUAGUUCGUGGAGUGAUCUGUCAGGCCUAUCCCGGUAACGAACGAGACUACAAUCUCCACUUGACGACCCAAAGAAUGUCGUGGGUAAAAGUGUAAUCGGCAACGGUUGCAAUUUCUACUUGUGAUAUGGCAAUACAGUCGGUAAAUUGAAUGGUUUUUAAUCAUUCAAUUUGCUUGUAUUCCCUUUGGUGUAGCAUUGUGUCAAUUUUUGGCGCAGUGUAUCGUGGAGAGACAGCGGAAUAUAUAUCAAAAUCCGAGGAAGUGUAGCUAUAACAGGUCCGUGAUGCCCUUAGAUGUUCAGGGCUGCACGCGCGCUACAAUGAUGGCAACAACGAGUUUCUGGAUCGAAAGAUUUGGGUAAUCUUGUAAUUGCCAUCGUGAUGGGGAUCGACGUUUGUAAAUACGUCGUGAAAGAGGAAUCCCUAGUACGUGCGAUUCAUGCAGAUCGCGCGGAUUGCGUCCCUGCCCUUUGUACACACCGCCCGUCGCUACUACCGAGUGAAUGGUGUCAUAAUACCUUGGGAGCGGACGUUGCCUGGGCCUCGUGCUUGGAGUGACGCUGCAAUCAGCGUAAAAUGGUGCAAUUUCGAGGAAGUAAAAGUCGUAACAAG
RNAcentral lists this ribosomal RNA (2021 nucleotides) under Myxobolus sp. ram SR-2018. RNAcentral's name for it is "SSU rRNA". It matches the Rfam family "Eukaryotic small subunit ribosomal RNA". Lineage: Eukaryota; Metazoa; Cnidaria; Myxozoa; Bivalvulida; Myxobolidae. The record is from RNAcentral.